Molecule: unclassified non-coding RNA, 148 nt
Organism: Macaca fascicularis (crab-eating macaque)
Lineage: Eukaryota; Metazoa; Chordata; Mammalia; Primates; Cercopithecidae
Rfam family: Metazoan signal recognition particle RNA
About the family: The signal recognition particle (SRP) is a universally conserved ribonucleoprotein. It is involved in the co-translational targeting of proteins to membranes. The eukaryotic SRP consists of a 300-nucleotide 7S RNA and six proteins: SRPs 72, 68, 54, 19, 14, and 9.
Source: Ensembl
GCUGGGUGUGGUGACGCACACCUAUAAUCCCAGCUACUCAGGAAGCUGAGAUGGGAGGAUCACUUGAGCCUGGGAUGUUGAGGCUGCAGUGAGCUGAGAUCGUGCCACUGUACUCUAGCCUGGGUGACAGAGUGAGACCCUAUCUCAA